RNAcentral lists this ribosomal RNA (468 nucleotides) under uncultured bacterium. RNAcentral describes it as "partial 16S ribosomal RNA". It matches the Rfam family "Bacterial small subunit ribosomal RNA", at positions 28 to 507 of the family's 1533-position model. The record is from RNAcentral.
GACGAACGCUGGCGGCGUGCUUAACACAUGCAAGUCGAACGGAAAGGCCCUGCUUUUGUGGGGUGCUCGAGUGGCGAACGGGUGAGUAACACGUGAGUAACCUGCCCUUGAAUUUGGGAUAACUUCAGGAAACUGGGGCUAAUACCGGAUAGGAGCCCCUGCUGCAUGGUGGGGGUUGGAAAGUUUCGGCGGUUGGGGAUGGACUCGCGGCUUAUCAGCUUGUUGGUGGGGUAGUGGCUUACCAAGGCUUUGACGGGUAGCCGGCCUGAGAGGGUGAUCGGCCACAUUGGGACUGAGAUACGGCCCAGACUCCUACGGGAGGCAGCAGUGGGGAAUAUUGCACAAUGGGCGGAAGCCUGAUGCAGCAACGCCGCGUGCGGGAUGACGGCCUUCGGGUUGUAAACCGCUUUCGCCUGUGACGAAGCGUGAGUGACGGUAAUGGGUAAAGAAGCACCGGCUAACUACGUG